RNAcentral lists this transfer RNA (83 nucleotides) under Anneissia japonica. RNAcentral's name for it is "tRNA-Ser". It matches the Rfam family "tRNA". From Rfam's summary of the family: Transfer RNA (tRNA) molecules are approximately 80 nucleotides in length. Their secondary structure includes four short double-helical elements and three loops (D, anti-codon, and T loops). The record is from RNAcentral. Lineage: Eukaryota; Metazoa; Echinodermata; Crinoidea; Comatulida; Comatulidae.
GUAGUCGUGGCCGAGCGGUUAAGGCGAUAGACUAGAAAUCUGUUGGGGUCUUCCCCGCGCAGGUUCGAAUCCUGCCGACUACG